This 498-nucleotide ribosomal RNA is filed under the name uncultured bacterium. RNAcentral describes it as "bacterial SSU rRNA". It matches the Rfam family "Bacterial small subunit ribosomal RNA", at positions 29 to 519 of the family's 1533-position model. The record is from RNAcentral.
AGCGAACGCUGGCGGCAGGCUUAACACAUGCAAGUCGAGGGGGAUCAGUUGGGUAGCAAUACCUGGCUGUGAGACCGGCAAACGGGUGAGGAACACGUACGCAACUUUCCCAAAACUGGUGAAUAGCCCUCCGAAAGGAGGAUUAAUACACCGUAACAUAUAGAGGUGGCAUCGCCUUUAUAUUAUAGCUCCGGCGGUUUUGGAUGGGCGUGCGCCUGAUUAGGUAGUUGGUGUGGUAACGGCUCACCAAGCCUACGAUCAGUAACUGGUGUGAGAGCACGACCAGUCACACGGGCACUGAGACACGGGCCCGACUCCUACGGGAGGCAGCAGUAAGGAAUAUUGGUCAAUGGACGAAAGUCUGAACCAGCCAUGCCGCGUGAAGGAUGACGGCCCUCUGGGUUGUAAACUUCUUUUGGAUGGGGCAAAAAACGGGUUUAUCCUGGACUGACGGUACCAUCAGAAUAAGCACCGGCUAACUCCGUGCCAGCAGCCGCG